Molecule: transfer RNA, 82 nt
Filed under: Trichoderma reesei QM6a
Lineage: Eukaryota; Fungi; Ascomycota; Sordariomycetes; Hypocreales; Hypocreaceae
Also listed under: 3 other names
Description: tRNA-Ser (TGA) (tRNA-Ser-TGA-1-1, tRNA-Ser-TGA-1-2)
Rfam family: tRNA
About the family: Transfer RNA (tRNA) molecules are approximately 80 nucleotides in length. Their secondary structure includes four short double-helical elements and three loops (D, anti-codon, and T loops).
Source: RNAcentral
GGCAGAGUGGCUGAGUGGUCUAAAGCGUUAGACUUGAAAUCUAAUACCUUCGGGUGCGCAGGUUCGAACCCUGCCUCUGUCG